GUGAUUGGAGUCACUGAUGUAGUCCUCUAAUCAGAUGAGAUGAUGUGCUCCACUUUAUGAGCCUGUUUGCCUGAGAGCUGAAGGAAUCCUGAGGAAUCCUGAGAAUCUUGAGGAAUCCUUGCUUGACUGGGAAAACUUCCAAAAUGGUUUGCAAGGUACAUUUGAAUUCUCCAACUACAUCCAGUUCUGAAAGCUUUAGGAAUUAUGAAUCCACAUGCAAAAUGAGCUCUUAGUAACAAUCGGAAGCAACCUGAGAUUUAAUGUAAGGCAUCAAAGAGAAGGAAGGGCAGCUCUGGAUCGCAAUCCCUUUUGGGAACUGAGCCAUGAGGAGGAUUAAAAUUGCUAACAUGAGGAUAAGAG
Molecule: long non-coding RNA, 360 nt
Filed under: Struthio camelus australis
Lineage: Eukaryota; Metazoa; Chordata; Aves; Struthioniformes; Struthionidae
Description: lncRNA (ENSSCUG00000012166.1)
Source: RNAcentral